UUCCUGUCGCCCCCUUUGCUCUACAUCCUUCAUCUUCAAAUCCCUCACAAUAAUUAAAUCUCUCUCUCUCUAAUUUCUCUUGUCAGAUAUCUCCACUUUACACACACUUCAUUUCCCCCAAACUCACGAACCUUUUUUCGUCUUAUAAUUCAUUUAUAUUCACACAAAUUCACUGGUUUAGGGUUUGAUAAUGACUUUCAGUUGGUAGAUCAUCAUGUCUCUAGGGGGUGGUGUGACGGCGGCGGAAGUUAUAGCGGUCGGAGACACGAAUGGUGGGGGUUUUCCUUCAAUUGGCGACAUCUGCAACCGACGACAUUUGCAGAUAAACGUAACAGCAUACACGCAGCCAGAUUACUCCUGACGAAGCCAGCUCCUCUUUGUUUUCAUUGCAGAGUGAGAGAUUCAAAAUAGCGGUUACUCCGUGCCCUUGAAGCUGUAGAUCUUACGAUUAGAUUAGCGAAAUCAACGGUCGGAUUGCUCCUGCUCUGGCGAUUUUCAAUCUGUUCUCCGGUUUGUUCUUCACGAGUAAGCGAAUCUCCAUAGCUGCUUGCUUCUGAUCAUCAAUAGAAGUGGUUGUUAAUUGAAAGGUGGGGUUGGGUGGGUUGAAGGUGACUGUGGAGGAGGUGGUGGGUUGAAGGUGACAGUGGAGGUGGUGGAUCGAAGGUGGUGGUGGUGGGUUGAAAGUGGUGGCGGUGGUGGUGGAUUUUAGAGGGAGAGAGGAGAGGAAGAAGAUGAGUGUGGUCAUUUCACAUAAAUUUAACUGAGAAAAUUA
This 772-nucleotide long non-coding RNA is filed under the name Helianthus annuus (common sunflower). Its description in RNAcentral is "hypothetical non coding rna". Lineage: Eukaryota; Viridiplantae; Streptophyta; Magnoliopsida; Asterales; Asteraceae. The record is from RNAcentral.